AGUGAACGCUGGCGGUAGGCCUAACACAUGCAAGUCGAACGGCAGCACAGUAAGAGCUUGCUCUUACGGGUGGCGAGUGGCGGACGGGUGAGGAAUACAUCGGAAUCUACUUUUUCGUGGGGGAUAACGUAGGGAAACUUACGCUAAUACCGCAUACGACCUACGGGUGAAAGCAGGGGAUCUUCGGACCUUGCGCGAUUGAAUGAGCCGAUGUCGGAUUAGCUAGUUGGCGGGGGUAAAGGCCCACCAAGGCGACGAUCCGUAGCUGGUCUGAGAGGAUGAUCAGCCACACUGGAACUGAGACACGGUCCAGACUCCUACGGGAGGCAGCAGUGGGGAAUAUUGGACAAUGGGCGCAAGCCUGAUCCAGCCAUACCGCGUGGGUGAAGAAGGCCUUCGGGUUGCAAAGCCCUUUUGUUGGGAAAGAAAAGCAGCAGGUUAAUACCCCGCUGUUCUGACGGUACCCAAAGAAUAAGCACCGGCUAACUUCGUG
Molecule: ribosomal RNA, 493 nt
Filed under: uncultured bacterium
Lineage: Bacteria
Description: partial 16S ribosomal RNA
Rfam family: Bacterial small subunit ribosomal RNA
Source: RNAcentral